UAUUUACCGUUUCUCAGCUUAUUUUCAAAUGUUUUUAUAAUAUAGGUGCUAUUAUUACCCAAUUUUACAGAUGAGGACAUUGGCUUAGAAAACAAAAAAGAACAUCCUUAAAGAGGUCCAGACAACUGCUCAUCUGGCGAAGGACAAAUGGCUGUUUUUGGAGUAUGCUCUUGAGCUUUCCUGCUUUGGUCAUUUGCUCUUCCACUUCUGCUUUCAACACAGCAUGCCUCAAACUAUCCUAGUGAGGAGCCUUGAAUUUAGUCAGAUAUUUGUCAAGGUUAGAGCUUCCAAUCAAGGCCUUGGAGGAUCCUGGAAUGGAAAUUCCUUUAGGGGGAGGAGGAACAGCUUCAGAAACUCUUAUUUGAUCUUACUCACUAUGGCCAAGGACACAAUAUGAAGGUUGCCAAGUAUGUCCAUCCCAACUAUACAUUCAGGGACCAGGAAAAUGACCAUCAGAUGAAAAAAAGUCUUUGAAAGGAAACAUUUUGCGAUGUGGAG
Long non-coding RNA from Carlito syrichta (Philippine tarsier), 498 nucleotides. RefSeq lists it as uncharacterized. The transcript has 5 exons. The record is from RefSeq and is a predicted model, not a curated record. Lineage: Eukaryota; Metazoa; Chordata; Mammalia; Primates; Tarsiidae.